UGAAUUGGUCUGAACGCACUUGAUCUUGUCCGAUCUUGGAAGCUAAGCAGGGUCAGGCCUGGUUAGUACUUGGAUGGGAGAAUGAAUUGGCCUUAA
This 96-nucleotide ribosomal RNA is filed under the name Jaculus jaculus (lesser Egyptian jerboa). Lineage: Eukaryota; Metazoa; Chordata; Mammalia; Rodentia; Dipodidae. The record is from RNAcentral.